AUGUCCUUAUAUUCUAUUUGCUGUGGUAACUUCCACCAACUAAGGAACUCAAUAGGACACAUUUGUAGUAUCAGAUUUCUCAAGUAUCACAGCAGAAUAAGCUCUGAAAAUGUACUUCAGAACAGAAGACAUAAAACUAGACCUUUUAGUGCAACAGUACUAGUGAGAAAUGCAAGAAAAGGAAGUAAGCAAUCCAUCAGCAAUGACCGCCAUCUACACGGUGGAUCAGUUGAAUCAUCAAUUGAAGUGUUCAAGCAAUCUGAUCUGCUGCACCUGAAAUCACUCCAGUGCUACGAUAUUCAGGAAAAGGUUUCUGGAGGCAAGACCGACUGCCCUGCAACUAUCCUUGUCUUUGAUAUUGAAACUACUGGCUUCUCACGCCGUGGUGAUAGAAUUAUUGAGUUUGCUGUACGUGAUCUUAUGGGUGGAAAGAAUAGCACUUUUCAGACCCUUAUAAAUCCUGAGAGAGAGGUAAAAAACGCAGCUGUUCAUGGUAUCAGCACCAAGAUGGUUUGCAGUUCUGAUAUCCCAAGAUUUGGGGAGUUUAUCCCCAUUCUACUACAAUACGUUUGGAGUCGUCAAGUUGCUGGUAAACCAGUUAUGUGGGUUGCUCAUAACGGGAAAACCUUUGAUGUGCCCUUUCUCAUCUUUGAGUUCCAACGUUGCAAACAAGAGAUGCCUGCUGACUGGCUGUUUGUGGACACACUUCCUAUUGCAAGACAGUUAGUUGAUUCCGAUGGGGAAAAAAUCAGCUCCGCAUCGAUGAAGACACUGGUAGAGCGCUACAAGAUCCCAGUCGAUGGCAAAGCGCACCGUGCAAUGCAUGAUGUGACCGCCCUGUGUUAUGUACUCCAGAAGUUGACGUUCGAGUUGAAACUAACCGUUCCACAGCUCCUUGAGAAGUCGUUCCGGGUCUCUGAUAUCACGACGACACCCCCUAAAAAAUGA
RNAcentral lists this ribosomal RNA (948 nucleotides) under Triticum aestivum (bread wheat). RNAcentral describes it as "partial small subunit ribosomal RNA". Lineage: Eukaryota; Viridiplantae; Streptophyta; Magnoliopsida; Poales; Poaceae. The record is from RNAcentral.